AGCGGAUGAUGGGAGCUUGCUCCCGGAUUCAGCGGCGGACGGGUGAGUAAUGCCUAGGAAUCUGCCUGGUAGUGGGGGACAACGUUUCGAAAGGAACGCUAAUACCGCAUACGUCCUACGGGAGAAAGCAGGGGACCUUCGGGCCUUGCGCUAUCAGAUGAGCCUAGGUCGGAUUAGCUAGUUGGUGGGGUAAAGGCCUACCAAGGCGACGAUCCGUAACUGGUCUGAGAGGAUGAUCAGUCACACUGGAACUGAGACACGGUCCAGACUCCUACGGGAGGCAGCAGUGGGGAAUAUUGGACAAUGGGCGAAAGCCUGAUCCAGCCAUGCCGCGUGUGUGAAGAAGGUCUUCGGAUUGUAAAGCACUUUAAGUUGGGAGGAAGGGCA
RNAcentral lists this ribosomal RNA (387 nucleotides) under Sinomonas sp. BAgro211. RNAcentral describes it as "bacterial SSU rRNA". It matches the Rfam family "Bacterial small subunit ribosomal RNA", at positions 65 to 454 of the family's 1533-position model. The record is from RNAcentral. Lineage: Bacteria; Bacillati; Actinomycetota; Actinomycetes; Micrococcales; Micrococcaceae.